RNAcentral lists this long non-coding RNA (476 nucleotides) under Homo sapiens (human). Its description in RNAcentral is "HSALNT0220301". The record is from RNAcentral. Lineage: Eukaryota; Metazoa; Chordata; Mammalia; Primates; Hominidae.
AGAACUUGCACCAGGAGGCAGCACAGAAUGCAGGAAACAACACUGGGGAAGAAUGAAUGCGGGGCUGACUGAACCUGCAACUGCUACGCAGAUUUCCCUUUGCUAAUGAAAUUCCAGGCAUUACCUGGGAAUUCAAGUUCAGCCCUGCAUUCUCCCUCUGGGCAAUUCUGGUAGAGACCAUGAGGCAACCCCUGGGAGGAGCAGUAGCCAUAACAGGAUCCCUCCACAGCAACCCCAGGGCUAAGACCAGUGGGUGCAAAACACCUUCUUUACCAGGUGACGCCAUCGCCUCAACUCCUGCAGUGGUCAAUAUGGUCAAUAUUAAGUUCACAAACAUGGGAACUUCCUGACAUCAUCACAGAAGGAAUGAAAAUGCAGUUGGGGUGGCUGGUACAUUUUAGAAUAAGGCUGGUUCUCCUGGGAGGAAAGAGGUUAUUAUUCUAUGUCUUCCAAUGGAAUAAAAAUUCUUGCUAAAG